UGUCUUUUUGAGAAUAAUAUAAAGUCUAAUCUGCCCACUGAUUAAAUAUUAAAGGGCUGCAGUAUAUUGACUGUACAAAGGUAGCAUAAUCAUUAGUCAUUUAAUUGAUGACUUGUAUGAAAGAUUGGAUGAAAUAUAAACUGUCUCUUAUUUAAUUAUAAAAUUUAAUUUUUUUAUUAAAAAGUUAAAAUAUUUUAAAAAGACGAGAAGACCCUAUAGAGUUUUAUAAAUUAUUAAAUUGAGAUUAUAUGUAAAAUAAAUUUAAAAUUAAAUUAUUUAUUUUGUUGGGGUGAUAAAAAAAUAUAUUUAACUUUUUUUAAUUAUAAAACAUUUAUAAGUGGUUAAAUGAUCCAAUAAUAUUGAUUAUAAGAAAAAAUUACCUUAGGGAUAACAGCGUAAUUUUUUUUUUUAGUUCAAAUAAAAAAAAAAGUUUGCGACCUCGAUGUUGGAUUAAGAUAAAAUUUAAAUGUAGAAG
Molecule: ribosomal RNA, 475 nt
Filed under: Acrapex sysciodes
Lineage: Eukaryota; Metazoa; Arthropoda; Insecta; Lepidoptera; Noctuidae
Description: partial 16S large subunit ribosomal RNA
Source: RNAcentral